GUGAACCUGUGCUGGAUUCCCUGCCACGUGCUGCACCUGCGAUGUGAACCUCUGCUGGAUUCCCUGCCGAGUGCUGCACCUGCGAUGUGAACCUGUGCUGGAUUCCCUGCCGAGUGCUGCACCUGCGAUGUGAACCUGUGCUGGAUUCCCUGCCGAGAGCUGCACCUGCGAUGUGAACCUGUGCUGGAUUCCCUGCCACGUGCUGCACCUGCGAUGUGAACCUGUGCUGGAUUCCAUGCCACGUGCUGCACCUGCGAUGUGAACCUGUGCUGGAUUCCCUGCCGAGUGCUGCACCUGCGAUGUGAACCUGUGCUGGAUUCCCUGCCGAGUGCUGCACCUGCGAUGUGAACCUGUGCUGGAUUCCCUGCCAUGUGCUGCACCUGCGAUGUGAACCUGUGCUGGAUUCCCUGCCGAGUGCUGCAUCUGGGAAGCCUGAGAGACCAUUGCUCACCAGUUAAGUUAAUGUCUUGAAUUACAUUGGCACUAUCAUCCCUGG
Molecule: long non-coding RNA, 496 nt
Filed under: Homo sapiens (human)
Lineage: Eukaryota; Metazoa; Chordata; Mammalia; Primates; Hominidae
Description: HSALNT0183862
Source: RNAcentral